Molecule: long non-coding RNA, 210 nt
Organism: Lacerta agilis (Sand lizard)
Lineage: Eukaryota; Metazoa; Chordata; Lepidosauria; Squamata; Lacertidae
Exons: 2
Source: RefSeq, a predicted model, not a curated record
GCUGUGUCUGCUCAACUAACUGCCUGAGUUGAUGGACUUCAACUUGGAUGCUCCAGGAUCUCUGUGGGACUUUGGGCAUGUGGACUGACCCUGGACUUGGGAACUUGACAUACUGACUUGCCACCAGGCUCACGGAUUGGCUCAUGUCCAGCCUCAAACACAAUGUACUAUUACAUCAGCAGCAAAGGAGGAAAGGUCAAAGAUGAAUCA